AGGGGCAUCGGGAGGGAAGCUUGCUUUCCUUGCCGGCGACCGGCGCACGGGUGAGUAACACGUAUGCAACCUGCCCUCUUCAGGGGGACAACCUUCCGAAAGGGAGGCUAAUCCCGCGUAUAUCGGUUUCGGGCAUCCGUUAUCGAGGAAAGAUUCAUCGGAAGAGGAUGGGCAUGCGGCGCAUUAGCUAGACGGCGGGGUAACGGCCCACCGUGGCGACGAUGCGUAGGGGUUCUGAGAGGAAGGUCCCCCACACUGGUACUGAGACACGGACCAGACUCCUACGGGAGGCAGCAGUGAGGAAUAUUGGUCAAUGGGAGAGAUCCUGAACCAGCCAAGCCGCGUGAGGGAAGACGGCCCUAUGGGUUGUAAACCUCUUUUGUCGGAGAACAAAACCCGGGACGAGUCCCGGACUGCGUGUAUCCGAAGAAAAAGCAUCGGCUAACUCCGUGCCAGCAGCCGCGGUAAUACGGAGGAUGCGAGCGUUAUCCGGAUUUAUUGGGUUUAAAGGGUGCGUAGGCGGUCUGUUAAGUCAGCGGUAAAAUUGCGGGGCUCAACCCCG
Molecule: ribosomal RNA, 562 nt
Filed under: uncultured bacterium
Lineage: Bacteria
Description: bacterial SSU rRNA
Rfam family: Bacterial small subunit ribosomal RNA
Source: RNAcentral